This 464-nucleotide ribosomal RNA is filed under the name uncultured bacterium. RNAcentral describes it as "partial 16S ribosomal RNA". It matches the Rfam family "Bacterial small subunit ribosomal RNA", at positions 29 to 507 of the family's 1533-position model. The record is from RNAcentral.
ACGAACGCUGGCGGCGUGCUUAACACCUGCAAGUCGAACGGAAAGGCCCCAGCUUGCUGGGGUACUCGAGUGGCGAACGGGUGAGUAACACGUGGGUGAUCUGCCCUGCACUCUGGGAUAAGCCUGGGAAACUGGGUCUAAUACCGGAUAGGACCGUGCUUUAGUGUGUGCGGUGGAAAGUUUUUCGGUGCAGGAUGAGCCCGCGGCCUAUCAGCUUGUUGGUGGGGUAAUGGCCUACCAAGGCGGCGACGGGUAGCCGGCCUGAGAGGGUGUACGGCCACAUUGGGACUGAGACACGGCCCAGACUCCUACGGGAGGCAGCAGUGGGGAAUAUUGCACAAUGGGCGCAAGCCUGAUGCAGCGACGCCGCGUGGGGGAUGACGGCCUUCGGGUUGUAAACCCCUUUCGGCAGGGACGAAGCUUUUGUGACGGUACCUGCAUAAGAAGCACCGGCUAACUACGUG